ACCUACGGGGGGCAGCAGUGGGGAAUAUUGCACAAUGGGGGAAACCCUGAUGCAGCGACGCCGCGUGAAGGAAGAAGUAUUUUGGUAUGUAAACUUCUAUCAGCAGGGAAGAAAAUGACGGUACCUGACUAAGAAGCCCCGGCUAACUACGUGCCAGCAGCCGCGGUAAUACGUAGGGGGCAAGCGUUAUCCGGAUUUACUGGGUGUAAAGGGAGCGUAGGCGGUUUAGCAAGUCAGAAGUGAAAGCCCGGGGCUCAACUCCGGACCGCUUUUGAAA
Molecule: ribosomal RNA, 277 nt
Filed under: uncultured bacterium
Lineage: Bacteria
Description: partial 16S ribosomal RNA
Rfam family: Bacterial small subunit ribosomal RNA
Source: RNAcentral